ACCAAACUAGAUGACAUCUCGGUGAUCAAUCCUCUUCGAUGAAUGAGUUGUAUUUGAGAGAAAAGGAGUCUAAUUUCAUCAGGACAGUAUGGUGUAGUUGAAGACGGUGGAAGUACUUGUUCAUAAAGGAAGCGAUAGUCUAUGACUCUGUCACCAAGAGCUAGAUUUGGUGUUUGACUGCCAUGGUGUUGCAACUGUGGUUAUGAAGACUGAAUUAUGAAAUGAUUUUGAAUGCAAUAGUAUUGUAUUGUUGAUAUGUUAAAAUGGAGAUGGUAUGAAAGCAUCUUCGGAUAUUGUGAAUAAAAUCAAUCUUAAAUUCAUGUGGUGGCACUGCAAAAUUCUAUUUCAAAUAUUC
Gossypium raimondii (Peruvian cotton) is the source of this 355-nucleotide long non-coding RNA. RefSeq lists it as uncharacterized. The record is from RefSeq and is a predicted model, not a curated record. The transcript has 3 exons. Lineage: Eukaryota; Viridiplantae; Streptophyta; Magnoliopsida; Malvales; Malvaceae.